UUGCAGAACCCAUAACCAUCAUCCCGAUGAAUACACCAACAAAAAAAAACAUACUAGCCAUGUCCACCAAUGACAAGAUCGCGUUAAUGAGAGUGAAGAAAAGUCGAUUGGUGAAGGCAUCAACCAAAAUUCAUCCCUUCCUCCAACUUCCUCUGCACAAUGCCUCAAGCCAACAAACCCGACAGUAUCCCCAAAACUGCCAAAGUUGAAAAAAUCCAAUAGACCUUUCCCGAUCCCCAAAACGAGGAAACUUCCAUCGAACCCCCACCGAAGAAAGCUCGAAUCGAACAGAGUCCAACCCUUUCAUUACCCAUCGCUAAAGAAAUCCCCUUUACCUCAACCCCACCUCAACAAAAAAUACCAACCACCGUGUGGUCCAAAUACUUACUUGAGGGCUUCUCGUAUCACUGCUUUAGCACCUUUGUCUUCGAUGACGACGACAAAGUAUACAAAGACCACGACUCGGAGGAUCUGAUCUUGAAACCCGCCGUAUACCAAGGCUGAGUAAGUAAUCCCUUUCCAUAUUCUCUUCAUUCCUAAAGCUCCACCGAAAAAUCUAAUCCAAAUUUAUGUUUAUGUGAUUCAGUCCAUGGCAGCCUUUGGUCGGCUGCAAAGAAG
RNAcentral lists this long non-coding RNA (618 nucleotides) under Panax ginseng (ginseng). Its description in RNAcentral is "long non-coding RNA (PGIN_LNC012608)". Lineage: Eukaryota; Viridiplantae; Streptophyta; Magnoliopsida; Apiales; Araliaceae. The record is from RNAcentral.